This 458-nucleotide ribosomal RNA is filed under the name uncultured bacterium. Its description in RNAcentral is "partial 16S ribosomal RNA". It matches the Rfam family "Bacterial small subunit ribosomal RNA", at positions 338 to 795 of the family's 1533-position model. The record is from RNAcentral.
CCUACGGGAGGCUGCAGUGAGGAAUAUUGGUCAAUGGGCGAGAGCCUGAACCAGCCAAGUCGCGUGAGGGAGUACUGCCCUAUGGGUUGUAAACCUCUUUUGUCGGGGAGCAAAAGCCGGACGUGUCCGGCUGUGAGAGUACCCGAAGAAAAAGCAUCGGCUAACUCCGUGCCAGCAGCCGCGGUAAUACGGAGGAUGCGAGCGUUAUCCGGAUUUAUUGGGUUUAAAGGGUGCGCAGGCGGAUUUUUAAGUCAGCGGUAAAAUCGUGGGGCUCAACCCCAUCCAGCCGUUGAAACUGGGGAUCUAGAGUGUGCGAGAGGUAUGCGGAAUGCGUGGUGUAGCGGUGAAAUGCAUAGAUAUCACGCAGAACCCCGAUUGCGAAGGCAGCAUACCGGUGCACAACUGACGCUUAGGCACGAAAGCGUGGGUAUCGAACAGGAUUAGAUACCCCAGUAGUC